CAGUAGGGUGCCAUCAAGAGGUGUAUUUGGAAAUAUCCCUAAUACAGGAUCACUUGGAUCCGUCGGCGAUGACGAGCGCGAAAGGAAUGCGGAAAAGUCCUCACGG
RNAcentral lists this ribosomal RNA (106 nucleotides) under Enterocytozoon bieneusi. Its description in RNAcentral is "partial large subunit ribosomal RNA". Lineage: Eukaryota; Fungi; Microsporidia; Enterocytozoonidae. The record is from RNAcentral.